UCUCCACUACAAUUUCUGUCUGCUCCACUCACUCUCCAUUACCUCUCCUCUCUCUCUACUGUACGAAAGAAAAGAAAAAAAGAAAAAAAAGAAAAAGGAGAAUCCCUAUUUGAAUCACCCAGCUCCCUCACUCUCGCAGACACCAUUCACUACUCACAUCUCUCUCUGAAAAAAAUCCCUCAUCUUUCACUCUCUAAAAAACAGAGGAAAAAAUAAAAAAAUAGAACUUUCCCUCUUCUUCAUCGUAACUCACCUUCAACCUUAAACCCUCUGUCUCUCUCAGUCGCACACACCACAAAACCUUCCGCACGAUCUCCACCGCCACGAGCUCAAGCUCGCACAACCAAAAACCACCAAACCCUUUCCGCCGUCGAAACCGAAACCACACCCCACCGCUUCGUUAUCCGCCGAUGACCCUGUGUCACAAACCAACGCGUGCUAUCCGCCUUCAUCCCUCACUCUUCUGCGUUUCAUCCAACAACAACAACAUCGAAGAAUGGCUGAGCUUCGGUUCUCCAACUCUGCUCGAAGUUAAAGGUUUUGGCUUCAGAUCACUUCAAUAAGUCGAUUGCCGUUCGAACUUAUUUUGAUGAUGUACCGUGGAUAAGUGGAUUUGAAGAACCCCAUGAUGAUAAUCUUCUGAAAUAAACUCUUGGCAACUAUUCAUCUUUGCUUCUUGAAGUUUUAGCAUUCGUUCUGCUAUUUGUUGCUUGGAAUUGGUAUUGUGAAGUUGAAAAGUUGAAAGUUUUUAUGGUGACUGUUUAGUUUCCAUUCUGUAAUACAAUGUGUGAAAUUUGUUUCGCAGUACUGUAAUAUGCAUAAACUGUAUCUUGUAGCUUCCAAGCAUUUUCUUUUUUUUUUCUCUCUUCUUGUAUUAUAAAGCCGUACCCAUGUUACCGAGUACCUAUUCUUUCCGUUUUUUUUACCAUGAUGACAUUGUUUUGCUAUUGAAAAACUUCUCACCACUUGCUGAUUGUCCUGAACCUUAAUUGUGUUGGUACCUUAAAAUCAAAGAUUGUGUUUAUCA
Lathyrus oleraceus (garden pea) is the source of this 1027-nucleotide long non-coding RNA. RefSeq lists it as uncharacterized. Lineage: Eukaryota; Viridiplantae; Streptophyta; Magnoliopsida; Fabales; Fabaceae. The transcript has 2 exons. The record is from RefSeq and is a predicted model, not a curated record.